GCAAACACAUUCCAGCCAAUCGGCAGCAGACCCUCCCUCCCAGACCCUCCCAUCUCCUGGACAGCUCACUAAGAAUGCAGCUUCACAAUGAAUGUAAAAUGGAUGCUGUCCAGGAGGUGGGAGGGUCUGGGAGGGAGGGUCUGCUGCUGAUUGGCUGGAAUGUGUCUG
This 168-nucleotide microRNA precursor is filed under the name Pelobates cultripes (western spadefoot toad). The record is from RNAcentral. Lineage: Eukaryota; Metazoa; Chordata; Amphibia; Anura; Pelobatidae.